Molecule: ribosomal RNA, 544 nt
Filed under: uncultured fungus
Lineage: Eukaryota; Fungi
Description: eukaryotic LSU rRNA
Rfam family: Eukaryotic large subunit ribosomal RNA
Source: RNAcentral
UUGACCUCGGAUCAGGUGGGGAUACCCGCUGAACUUAAGCAUAUCAAUAAGCGGAGGAAAAGAAACCAACAGGGAUUGCCUCAGUAACGGCGAGUGAAGCGGCAACAGCUCAAAUUUGAAAUCUGGCCCUAGGCCCGAGUUGUAAUUUGUAGAGGAUGCUUUGGUUAUGGCCCCGGUCUAAGUUCCUUGGAACAGGACGUCACAGAGGGUGAGAAUCCCGUAUGUGAUCGGGGCCGUCCCCUUGUAAAGCUCCUUCGACGAGUCGAGUUGUUUGGGAAUGCAGCUCUAAAUGGGAGGUAAAUUCCUUCUAAAGCUAAAUACCGGCCAGAGACCGAUAGCGCACAAGUAGAGUGAUCGAAAGAUGAAAAGCACUUUGGAAAGAGAGUCAAACAGUACGUGAAAUUGUUGAAAGGGAAGCGCUUGCGACCAGACUUGCUCGCGGGGGUUCAGUGGUCCUUCGGGCCCGCCUACUCUCCCGCGGUCAGGCCAGCAUCGGUUUGGGCGGCCGGAUAAAGGUUCUAGGAAUGUGGCUCCUCUCGGGGAG